Chelonus insularis is the source of this 980-nucleotide long non-coding RNA. RefSeq lists it as uncharacterized. Lineage: Eukaryota; Metazoa; Arthropoda; Insecta; Hymenoptera; Braconidae. The record is from RefSeq and is a predicted model, not a curated record. The transcript is spliced from 3 exons.
AUAAUUAUUAUUAUAACACUAUUUUAGAUAUUUGGCUGCCCAGCUUGAUCUAUCAACUCGAUGAUACGAAGAACCAUUUGCUCGUGAUGAAUUAAAAACACUUCCAAAGAUAUUUGGUUGAAAUAUUGUUCGAUUUGGAGUUGAUUCUAGACAAUAAAUAACAUUUGGAUACGGUAUUUUUCUUUCUGUUUUUUCCGACACAUAACGAUUACUUGAUGGAAGAUAAUGUUGUUUCAUUUUGAGUUCUCCAUUAUCCGGUGGCAUUGGUGAUCCCCAGAAACUAGAAUUAUCAACUAUUGGAUCAACUGGUUUUGCAGACACAGGCUGUGCCACCAUACCAUUUAAUAACAAUCUCGGUACAGAUAUUCUACAUAGAAUUUAUGAAAUAAUUUUAUUCAUUAUCCAACUUAAUAAGUUCGCUGUGAUAGAUGAUUCAAAUAGAUAAUCAACCAAAGAACUGAGGCUUAGAUUAACGUUAGUGUUCUUCAAGAAAUAGGAAAUGUAAUUUGGAAUUCGAAAAAUGUCGUAAAUUUGAAUAUUGUGAGAAGCAAGGAAUGAAUCAAAUUGUUCAUAAUAAUCAUAAAAAUAAUAGUAAUAAUAAUAGUAGUAAUAAUAGAAAGUAUAGUAGUAAUAGUAAUAGUUGUAAUAAAAGAAACGAUGAUCAACAAUUAAUGGAGGAUUUUGGUAGUAACCAAUAGAACUAAGAAUUAAAUAGAAAGUUUCUGUUAUUUUUUGAGUAAUGAAACAAUGAUUUAGAUGAUGAAGAAUAUUGAAUCGAUAAAAACAAAAGCAUCCAAGAAAAUAUAGCAUUGACCCAGAAGUAAAAUAAAUGCUAACAAAUAGAAUAGUGUGUUUGAUGUUGUGAUGGUACUUAGUUCGAUACCUGAAUGAUAAAUUUGUAUUUUGGCCUGCGACGUACCGGGCGAUACUGAGGUAAUGCUGUUUGGCUGAAAUAUUUCGAUUAUUUUUUAGGUUUAUAG